RNAcentral lists this ribosomal RNA (386 nucleotides) under uncultured bacterium. Its description in RNAcentral is "bacterial SSU rRNA". It matches the Rfam family "Bacterial small subunit ribosomal RNA", at positions 747 to 1133 of the family's 1533-position model. The record is from RNAcentral.
AUAUGUACGAAAGCGUGGGGAGCGAAAAGGAUUGGAUACCCUUGUAGUCCACGCCUUAAACUGUGGAUACUAGGUGUUGGGAGAUUCGACCCUCCCAGUGCCGACGCAAACGCAUUGAGAAUCUCGCCUGGGAAGUACGGCCGCAAGAUUAAAACUCAAAGAAAUAGACGGGGACCCACACAAGCGGUGGAGCAUCUGGUUCAAUUCGAUAGUAAGCGAGGAACCUUACCUAGGCUUGACAUCCCAAGAAUCCCUUGGAAACAGGGGAGUGCCUCACGGAACUUGGAGACAGGUGCUGCGUGGUUGUCGUCAGCUCGCGCCUCGAGGUGUUCGGUUAAGUCCGUAAACGAGCGCAACCCACGUCAUGUGUUGCAUAUUACACGUGA